Molecule: ribosomal RNA, 447 nt
Filed under: uncultured bacterium
Lineage: Bacteria
Description: bacterial SSU rRNA
Rfam family: Bacterial small subunit ribosomal RNA
Source: RNAcentral
AAUCCAGACUCCUACGGGAGGCAGCAGUGGGGGAUAUUGCACAAUGGGGGGAACCCUGAUGCAGCGACGCCGCGUGGGUGAAGAAGCGCCUCGGCGCGUAAAGCCCUGUCAGCAGGGAAGAAAAUGACGGUACCUGAAGAAGAAGCCCCGGCUAACUACGUGCCAGCAGCCGCGGUAAUACGUAGGGGGCAAGCGUUAUCCGGAUUCACUGGGUGUAAAGGGAGCGUAGACGGCGACGCAAGUCUGGAGUGAAAGCCCGGGGCCCAACCCCGGGACUGCUCUGGAAACUGCGUCGCUGGAGUACGGGAGGGGCAGGCGGAAUUCCCGGUGUAGCGGUGAAAUGCGUAGAUAUCAGGAGGAACACCGGUGGCGAAGGCGGCCUGCUGGACUGCAACUGACGUUGGGGCCCGAAAGCGUGGGGAGCAAACAGGAUUAGAUACCCGAGUA